This 109-nucleotide non-coding RNA is filed under the name chicken gut metagenome. RNAcentral's name for it is "FMN riboswitch (RFN element)". It matches the Rfam family "FMN riboswitch aptamer (RFN element)". Rfam says of the family: The RFN element is a highly conserved domain that is found frequently in the 5'-untranslated regions of prokaryotic mRNAs that encode for flavin mononucleotide (FMN) biosynthesis and transport proteins. This element is a metabolite-dependent riboswitch that directly binds FMN in the absence of proteins. In Bacillus subtilis, the riboswitch most likely controls gene expression by causing premature transcription termination within the 5' untranslated region of the ribDEAHT operon and precluding access to the ribosome-binding site of ypaA mRNA. The record is from RNAcentral.
CUUCGGGGCGAGGUGCGAUCCCUCACCGGCGGUGACAGUCCGCGAACUUGCAAGGCAAGCCGAACGGGUGAAAUUCCCGUACCGACGGUAUAGUCCGGAUGGAAGAAGC